This 1800-nucleotide ribosomal RNA is filed under the name Gammarus cf. fossarum K DCC-2015. RNAcentral's name for it is "bacterial SSU rRNA". It matches the Rfam family "Eukaryotic small subunit ribosomal RNA", at positions 182 to 1594 of the family's 1831-position model. The record is from RNAcentral. Lineage: Eukaryota; Metazoa; Arthropoda; Malacostraca; Amphipoda; Gammaridae.
UUGUGCUUGCUUGUCUUGCGCUCUCACUGCUCUGACGGAUGCUUUUAUUAGACCAAACCGCUGAGGACUUGAGGGUUCGCCCUCUAGUUCGACUCGUGCGAUGGUGACUCUGGAUAACCUUGACGAGCGCACGUACUCCUCUUCUGAGCGAGACGGCGCUGCCACUUUCGAGUGUCUGCCUUAUCAGCUAUCAACCGUUCGUUAUGCGCGACCGAUGGCUUUGACGGGUAACGGGGAAUCAGGGUUCGAUUCCGGAGAGGCAGCCUGAGAGACGGCUACCACGUCCAAGGACGGCAGCAGGCACGCAAAUUACCCAAUCCCAGCAAAUGGGGGAGGUAGUGACGAAAUCUAACGAUGCGGGCGCCCUUUCUGGGGCCCCGCAAUCGGAAUGGGCACUUUCUAAACAACCUGUUGAGAACCUACUGAAGGGCAAGUCUGGUGCCAGCAGCCGCGGUAAUUCCAGCUUCAGCAGCAUCUAUUAAAGUUGCUGCGGUUAAAAGGCUCGCAGUUGAAUGUCUGUAUCGAGCGCAGGUCAGGUGGACGUUGGGGCGUGGAAGUACGGGCAGUUGGAUGUUCGGAGGGCAUUCGUGCUCGAUGGCUCCUUCGGCUUUUCCACACACCCCCGUCCGUGACAAGCCUCCUCGCUCGGGUACAUAACGGGAAUCGGUCAAACGGAGUGUGGUCGGGAGUUGAGGUGCGUGGUUUCGGCUGCGUGCUCCUUCUUUCGGCUGCGUCAAGCUCCAUCGGUUUCACGGUCACCUUGAGUAAAUCAGAGUGCUCAAAGCAGUCGUAGGGGCCUUGCGCCCUGUGAACAGUCUUGACGGACUGACUUGGUUUUGCAUGGCAUGUCGGAAGACGACGUCGUGUGCUGGCUCAGAGGAUAAAUCAGUGGUACAAGCCAGCCUCGACGUAAUGAUUAAAAGGGACGGUCGAGGGCAUUGGUAUUGCGAGGCGAGAGGUGAAAUUCUGUGACCCCGCAAGACCUCCUGAAGCGAAAGCGUCUGCCAAGGACGUUUUCAUUAAUCAUGAACGAAAGUUAGAGGAUCGAAGGCGAUCAGAUACCGCCCUAGUUCUAACCCUAAACGAUGCCAACCAUCAAUCCGCGCGUAGCACCCUUCUUAACGGGCUCGGCGGGCAGCUCCCCACUCACGGGAAACCAGAGCCUCUGGGUUCCGGGGGGAGUCUGGUUGCAAAGCUGAAACUUAAAGGAAUUGACGGAAAGGCACCACCAGGCGUGGAGCCUGCGGCUUAAUUUGACUCAACACGGGCCAUCUCACCAGGCCAGCACUCUUGUACGAUUGACAGAUUGAGAGCUCUUUCUCGAUUCAGUGGAUGGUGGUGCAUGGCCGUUCUUAGUUGGUGGAGUGAUCUGUCUGGUUAAUUCCGAUAACGAACGAGACUCUCCCCUGCUAACUAGUCGGUUGGAUCUUGAUCAGCGGGUUGCGUGCCGAGUAACUCUCGCUGCGCGUGUGGUGCGUCGCUGGCUCUCGGGUUGGUUGCGUGUCCGCGCGUGUGGCGUUGGAUGCCUUGGAUCACACUGCACCCCAAGUCCGCCGCUUAUGCUAUAACUCUUCUUAGAGGGAUUCACGGCACUGAAGCCGUAAGAGACUGAGAGCAAUAACAGGUCUGUGAUGCCCUUAGAUGCUCUGGGCCGCACGCGCGCUACAAUGCCGGGCACAGCAGGUGUUUCUCCUGCUCCGACAGGAGCGGGUAACCCUCUGAAAGCCAGUGUUCUUGCAAGUGCUUCCUCCCUCGUGGAGUUGCACAGAGGCGUGCUUGGGCCUGGGACUUGCAAUUCUU